CGUAGGAGACAAACGUUAUCCGGAGUUACUGGGCGUAAAGGGCGUGUAGGUGGUUACGUAAGUCUGGCGUGAAAUUUUUCGGCUUAACCGGGAAAGGUCGUCGGAUACUGCGGGACUAGAGGACGGUAGAGGCGUGUGGAAUUCCGGGUGUAGUGGUGAAAUGCGUAGAGAUCCGGAGGAACACCAGUGGCGAAGGCGACACGCUGGGCCGUACCUGACACUGAUGCGCGACAGCAUGGGGAGCAAACAGGAUUAGAAACCCUGGUAGUCCAUGCCGUAAACGAUGCUAGCUGGGUGUUCAGGAAGGGGAACCUUUCGGGGUACCGAAGUCAACACGGUAAGCUAGCCGCCUGGGGAGUACGGUCGCAAGAUUA
Molecule: ribosomal RNA, 374 nt
Filed under: uncultured organism
Description: bacterial SSU rRNA
Rfam family: Bacterial small subunit ribosomal RNA
Source: RNAcentral